RNAcentral lists this ribosomal RNA (1989 nucleotides) under Serratia marcescens. RNAcentral's name for it is "bacterial LSU rRNA". It matches the Rfam family "Bacterial large subunit ribosomal RNA", at positions 1 to 2003 of the family's 2925-position model. The record is from RNAcentral. Lineage: Bacteria; Pseudomonadati; Pseudomonadota; Gammaproteobacteria; Enterobacterales; Yersiniaceae.
GGGUUGUGAGGUUAAGUGACUAAGCGUAYACGGUGGAUGCCUAGGCAGUCAGAGGCGAUGAAGGGCGUGCUAAUCUGCGAAAAGCGUCGGUAAGGUGAUAUGAACCGUUAUAACCGGCGAUACCCGAAUGGGGAAACCCAGUGUGUUUCGACACACUAUCAUGUCAUGAAUACAUAGUGGCAUGAGGCGAACCGGGGGAACUGAAACAUCUAAGUACCCCGAGGAAAAGAAAUCAACCGAGAUUCCCCCAGUAGCGGCGAGCGAACGGGGAGGAGCCCAGAACCUGAAUCGGCUUGUGUGUUAGUGGAAGCGUCUGGAAAGUCGCGCAGCAAAGGGUGAUAGCCCCGUACACUAAAAUGCACAGGUCGUGAGUUCGAUGAGUAGGGCGGGACACGUGACAUCCUGUCUGAAUAUGGGGGGACCAUCCUCCAAGGCUAAAUACUCCUGACUGACCGAUAGUGAACCAGUACCGUGAGGGAAAGGCGAAAAGAACCCCGGCGAGGGGAGUGAAAUAGAACCUGAAACCGUGUACGUACAAGCAGUGGGAGCACCUUCGUGGUGUGACUGCGUACCUUUUGUAUAAUGGGUCAGCGACUUAUAUUUUGUAGCAAGGUUAACCGUAUAGGGGAGCCGUAGGGAAACCGAGUCUUAACUGGGCGAWUAGUUGCAAGGUAUAGACCCGAAACCCGGUGAUCUAGCCAUGGGCAGGUUGAAGGUUGGGUAACACUAACUGGAGGACCGAACCGACUAAUGUUGAAAAAUUAGCGGAUGACUUGUGGCUGGGGGUGAAAGGCCAAUCAAACCGGGAGAUAGCUGGUUCUCCCCGAAAGCUAUUUAGGUAGCGCCUCGUGAACUCAUCUUCGGGGGUAGAGCACUGUUUCGGCUAGGGGGCCAUCCCGGCUUACCAAACCGAUGCAAACUCCGAAUACCGAAGAAUGUUAUCACGGGAGACACACGGCGGGUGCUAACGUCCGUCGUGAAGAGGGAAACAACCCAGACCGCCAGCUAAGGUCCCAAAGUCAUGGUUAAGUGGGAAACGAUGUGGGAAGGCAUAGACAGCCAGGAUGUUGGCUUAGAAGCAGCCAUCAUUUAAAGAAAGCGUAAUAGCUCACUGGUCGAGUCGGCCUGCGCGGAAGAUGUAACGGGGCUAAACCAUGCACCGAAGCUGCGGCAGCGACGCUUAGCGUUGUUGGGUAGGGGAGCGUUCUGUAAGCCGUUGAAGGUGGCCUGUGAGGGUUGCUGGAGGUAUCAGAAGUGCGAAUGCUGACAUAAGUAACGAUAAAGCGGGUGAAAAGCCCGCUCGCCGGAAGACCAAGGGUUCCUGUCCAACGUUAAUCGGGGCAGGGUGAGUCGACCCCUAAGGCGAGGCUGAAAAGCGUAGUCGAUGGGAAACAGGUUAAUAUUCCUGUACUUGGUGUUACUGCGAAGGGGGGACGGAGAAGGCUAGGCURGCCGGGCGACGGUUGUCCCGGUUUAAGCGUGUAGGGGGUGUGACCUGGUAAAUCCGGUUGCAUACUAACCCUGAGGCGUGAUGACGAUGCACUACGGUGCARAAGUAGUUGAUGCCCUGCUUCCAGGAAAAUCCUCUAAGCUCCAGGUAACAUUAAAUCGUACCCCAAACCGACACAGGUGGUCAGGUAGAGAAUACCAAGGCGCUUGAGAGAACUCGGGUGAAGGAACUAGGCAAAAUGGUGCCGUAACUUCGGGAGAAGGCACGCUGGCAUGUAGGUGAAGUCCCUUGCGGAUGGAGCUGAAGCCAGUCGAAGAUACCAGCUGGCUGCAACUGUUUAAUAAAAACACAGCACUGUGCAAACACGAAAGUGGACGUAUACGGUGUGACGCCUGCCCGGUGCUGGAAGGUUAAUUGAUGGGGUCAGCCGCAAGGCGAAGCUCUUGAUCGAAGCCCCAGUAAACGGCGGCCGUAACUAUAACGGUCCUAAGGUAGCGAAAUUCCUUGUCGGGUAAGUUCCGACCUGCACGAAUGGCGUA